RNAcentral lists this ribosomal RNA (253 nucleotides) under uncultured bacterium. RNAcentral describes it as "partial 16S ribosomal RNA". It matches the Rfam family "Bacterial small subunit ribosomal RNA", at positions 524 to 776 of the family's 1533-position model. The record is from RNAcentral.
GACGAACCGUGCGAACGUUGUUCGGAAUCACUGGGCUUAAAGGGCGCGUAGGCGGGCGGUCAAGUCUGUGGUGAAAUCCUUCGGCUCAACCGGAGAAUAGCUGGAGAUACUGGCCGUCUCGAGGGGGGUAGGGGCAUGUGGAACUUCCGGUGGAGCGGUGAAAUGCGUAGAGAUCAGCAGGAACACCCGUGGCGAAGGCGACCACCUGGACUGAUACUGACACUGAGGUGCGAAAGCGUGGGGAGCAAACAGG